This 559-nucleotide ribosomal RNA is filed under the name uncultured bacterium. Its description in RNAcentral is "bacterial SSU rRNA". It matches the Rfam family "Bacterial small subunit ribosomal RNA", at positions 68 to 637 of the family's 1533-position model. The record is from RNAcentral.
GAUCAGGAUUCGUCUGAGUGAAGGUGAGGAAAGUGGCGGACGGGUGAGUAACGCGUGAGCAAUCUGCCUUGGAGUGGGGAAUAACGGCUGGAAACAGCCGCUAAUACCGCAUGAUGUGUCUGUCUCGCAUGGGGUGGACACCAAAGAUUUAUCGCUCCGAGAUGAGCUCGCGUCUGAUUAGCUAGUUGGCGGGGUAACGGCCCACCAAGGCGACGAUCAGUAGCCGGACUGAGAGGUUGGCCGGCCACAUUGGGACUGAGACACGGCCCAGACUCCUACGGGAGGCAGCAGUGGGGAAUAUUGGGCAAUGGGCGCAAGCCUGACCCAGCAACGCCGCGUGAAGGAAGAAGGCUUUCGGGUUGUAAACUUCUUUUCUGAGGGACGAAGAAGGUGACGGUACCUCAGGAAUAAGCCACGGCUAACUACGUGCCAGCAGCCGCGGUAAUACGUAGGUGGCAAGCGUUAUCCGGAUUUAUUGGGUGUAAAGGGCGUGUAGGCGGGAAUGCAAGUCAGAUGUGAAAACUAUGGGCUCAACCCAUAGCCUGCAUUUGAAACUGUA